UAAACAAGUGUAGGUUGUGCUGGCCUUYUCGGUAUGUGCACGCCUGCUAAAGUUUCAUUCUAUCUUCCCACCCGUGCACUUUGUGUAGAUUCUGUAUACUAUUGUCAGGCUCUUUGACUGGGCUUGGUUGAGAGGAGUUGCUUGUUCUAUUGGACAGGCUCUUCUUGGGUAUGCAGGUCUAUGUUUUAUAUUAACACCAUAUGAAUGUAAUAGAAUGUGCUUUGGGCUUUUUUAGCCUUUAAAACAUAUACAACUUUCAACAACGGAUCUCUUGGCUCUCGCAUCGAUGAAGAACGCAGCGAAAUGCGAUAAGUAAUGUGAAUUGCAAAAUUCAGUGAAUCAUCGAAUCUUUGAACGCACCUUGCGCUCCUUGGUAUUCCGAGGAGCAUGCCUGUUUGAGUGUCAUUAAAUUCUCAAUUCCCACAAUCUUGUGUUGUUGGGUGAUUGGAUUAUGGGGGCUUGCUGGCCUUGUUCAGCUCUCCUUAAAAGCAUUAGCAGGAUAUAAUGCCAUCUGUGCUUUGUAUGAUACAUAUCUAUACAUUGUACUUAUUGUGCACAACUGCUUCUAACUGUCAUCUUUNACAUUUGACCAAUUUGACCUCAAAUCAGGUAGGACUACCCGCUGAACUUAAGCAUA
Molecule: ribosomal RNA, 637 nt
Filed under: Pluteus leucoborealis
Lineage: Eukaryota; Fungi; Basidiomycota; Agaricomycetes; Agaricales; Pluteaceae
Description: eukaryotic LSU rRNA
Rfam family: 5.8S ribosomal RNA (bases 252-405)
Source: RNAcentral